This 68-nucleotide transfer RNA is filed under the name Lophuromys chrysopus. RNAcentral's name for it is "tRNA-Gly". The record is from RNAcentral. Lineage: Eukaryota; Metazoa; Chordata; Mammalia; Rodentia; Muridae.
ACUUUCUUAGUAUAUUAAGUACCGCUGACUUCCAAUUAGCAAGAUCUGAAAAAACCCAGAAGAAAGUA